Molecule: non-coding RNA, 86 nt
Organism: Gymnothorax javanicus (giant moray)
Lineage: Eukaryota; Metazoa; Chordata; Actinopteri; Anguilliformes; Muraenidae
Source: the annotation of a GenBank genome assembly
GCCCCGGUGGCUCAUCGGUCAAAGCGCGCGCAUCAUAAAGGCUGUGUCCUUCCAAGGCAACCCGGGUUCGAUUCCGGCUCGGGUCA